This 330-nucleotide ribosomal RNA is filed under the name Triticum aestivum (bread wheat). RNAcentral's name for it is "partial small subunit ribosomal RNA". The record is from RNAcentral. Lineage: Eukaryota; Viridiplantae; Streptophyta; Magnoliopsida; Poales; Poaceae.
AUGGAGGACGAAACGUGUGGAGCUCACGAGGAUGCCGCCACCAUGUCAUGUGGAUGGCGGCGCGGAGCUUGCCAAGAUGACGCCCAUCGCCAACAUCAUCAACCCGGUACCACAGAGGAUCAUGGUGCAGAGCCCGCAAGAGGGACGCCACUAACAUCAACAUCAUCAAGCCGGUGUCGCGGAGGACGAAGGCGUGGAGCUCGCAGGACAACAUCACUGAUGUGUACCUCGUCAAGAUGGAGCCCGCGACCCGGAACCAUGAAGAGGACACACGCCUUGGUGCUCCCCGCAACACGUAGCCCGCGAUACGAAGAAGAUGGUGCUACAUGA